AACGGGUGAGUAAUAUAUCGGAACGUCGCCGAUCGGUGGGGAGUAACGUAGCGAAAGUUACGCUAAUACCGUAUACGAUCUACGGAUGAAAGCGGGGGAUCGCAAGACCUCGCGCGAAUGGAGCGGCCGAUAUCAGAUUAGGUGGUUGGUGGGGUAAAGGCUCACCAAGCCAACGAUCUGUAGCUGGUCUGAGAGGACGACCAGCCACACUGGAACUGAGACACGGUCCAGACUCCUACGGGAGGCAGCAGUGGGGAAUUUUGGACAAUGGGCGCAAGCCUGAUCCAGCCAUUCCGCGUGCAGGAUGAAGGCCUUCGGGUUGUAAACUGCUUUUGUACGGAACGAAACGGUCUGCCCUAAUACGGUGGGCUAAUGACGGUACCGUAAGAAUAAGCACCGGCUAACUACGUG
This 411-nucleotide ribosomal RNA is filed under the name uncultured bacterium. RNAcentral describes it as "bacterial SSU rRNA". It matches the Rfam family "Bacterial small subunit ribosomal RNA", at positions 101 to 507 of the family's 1533-position model. The record is from RNAcentral.